Long non-coding RNA from Neogale vison (American mink), 1080 nucleotides. RefSeq lists it as uncharacterized. NCBI's taxonomy places the organism in Eukaryota, Metazoa, Chordata, Mammalia, Carnivora, Mustelidae. The record is from RefSeq and is a predicted model, not a curated record. The transcript has 5 exons.
AGGACAUGUGAGCUCCUCAGACGCAACAAAGUUUUGGGCAAGAGCUCCUGGGACUGAAAAUGACUACCGCCCCAUUCCUCCGAUCCCCGAGGACCCAGAACCCACAGUGUUGAGAAAAGCUUUGACGGAGCCGGCGGGUGGAUCUCCACUCCAGAUUUUCCAGCUGUCCCUGCCCCCCCACCGCUCGGAGCAGGAUGCCGAGAUGGCUGGUGAUGCAGAAGGAGGAUCACUGGCACACAGGGACCCAGGUGCCAGACCAAGGGUUCUGGGACCACGGUGGUUCCCUCCUUCUCCUCUGAGAACAAAAAAGGCAGACGGACCCACAUGCCCAUGAGGAAAUGUCCAGCUGUCCUCUAAGAAACUACAGACACCGUUCGUAGCGUGGGAUCCCUACAAAGCUGGGCCACAGGCUGACGGGGCCUGUCGCUUGCCAACCCCAGCCCUAUGAGGACACCCUCCACUCGAGAGCCCCGGGAUAUCAGAGGAGGCGCCGCGGGAAUCUGAAUGCGUCACUUCUGAGAGGAGCCGUGAGCAGAGAGAGCGGAUCCAGCGUGACGACUCGGGAAGCAGUUUCUGGAGAACAGAACGGACGAGGGAAGGGAGAGGAAGCUCCGAGCGUCCGGAGCACAGUUAUUGAUGACACCAAGUCUUGAAGAUGAAAUGGUCCCCAGAUGGAAGGAAACAGGGCAUCCGGGUCACUGCUUGAAGGAGAGCUGCCCGGUUGAGGACACUUUCACGGGACUGGAAUGUGAGCAACAAGUCGGUGUUCCAGUGGGAUUUGGGGUAUUCUGGGGCAUCAGCUAUUGGGACAUGGAUUAAUAUGGUCUCUGAUCUUCUCAAACCUUCUCAGACUGUUCUGUUCUCUGUAUGUGGGAUCAACUAGACGUUUCUGUUGAGCUUGUCCUCUCCCUCCUCUCUCCGGAUCCUUUCUACCCUCCCCGCUGGCGUGUCGUCAGAUGAAUAAUGGCAGAAACAAAGAGCAGAGGGAACAGAACAAUGAUUGUUUCACUCAUGAAGUCUUUUCUUCACCCGUUCACUUCUUUCCCUCUACAUGACUGGGCAGCAUGGCCACAGCCCAGG